Molecule: transfer RNA, 95 nt
Filed under: Limimaricola soesokkakensis
Lineage: Bacteria; Pseudomonadati; Pseudomonadota; Alphaproteobacteria; Rhodobacterales; Paracoccaceae
Description: tRNA-???(ccag)
Source: RNAcentral
UGGUCAUAGGCGGGCAUUUCGGCGCCGGGCUUCCAGGCGCCCGGAUUGGCGACCCACUUGGCGAAAUCCUCGGUGCUGGUGCCGAGGCGCCCGGC